AGAACGAACGCUGGCGGCAUGCCUAAUACAUGCAAGUCGAACGAACUCUUCGGAGUUAGUGGCGCACGGGUGCGUAACGCGUGGGAAUCUGCCCCUUGGUUCGGAAUAACAGUUGGAAACGACUGCUAAUACCGGAUGAUGACGAAAGUCCAAAGAUUUAUCGCCAAGGGAUGAGCCCGCGUAGGAUUAGCUAGUUGGUGAGGUAAAGGCUCACCAAGGCAACGAUCCUUAGCUGGUCUGAGAGGAUGAUCAGCCACACUGGGACUGAGACACGGCCCAGACUCCUACGGGAGGCAGCAGUAGGGAAUAUUGGACAAUGGGCGAAAGCCUGAUCCAGCAAUGCCGCGUGAGUGAUGAAGGCCUUAGGUUGUAAAGCUCUUUUACCCGAGAUGAUAAUGACAGUAUCGGAGAAUAAGCCCCGGCUAACUCCGCGCCAGCAGCCGAC
Molecule: ribosomal RNA, 445 nt
Filed under: uncultured soil bacterium
Lineage: Bacteria
Description: bacterial SSU rRNA
Rfam family: Bacterial small subunit ribosomal RNA
Source: RNAcentral